CGUGUAGGCGGUGCGGUAAGUUGGGCGUGAAAUCCCCGAGCUUAACUCGGGUGGGCCGUUCAAGACUGCCGUGCUAGGGUGCGGGAGAGGGCAGUGGAAUUUCCGGUGUAGCGGUGAAAUGCGUAGAUAUCGGGAGGAACACCUGCGGCGAAGGCGGCUGCCUGGACCGUAACCGACGCCGAGGCGCGAAAGCUAGGGGAGCAAACAGGAUUAGAUACCCUGGUAGUCCUAGCCCUAAACGAUGAGCACUGGGUGUGGCCCCUCACGGGGCCGUGCCGAAGCUAACGCAUUAAGUGCUCCGCCUGGGGAGUACGGUCGCAAGGCUGAA
RNAcentral lists this ribosomal RNA (328 nucleotides) under uncultured bacterium. RNAcentral's name for it is "bacterial SSU rRNA". It matches the Rfam family "Bacterial small subunit ribosomal RNA", at positions 568 to 898 of the family's 1533-position model. The record is from RNAcentral.